This 26-nucleotide non-coding RNA is filed under the name Rattus norvegicus (Norway rat). The record is from RNAcentral. Lineage: Eukaryota; Metazoa; Chordata; Mammalia; Rodentia; Muridae.
UCAGCAACUUUCUGACUCUUGGGGCA